RNAcentral lists this long non-coding RNA (622 nucleotides) under Callithrix jacchus (white-tufted-ear marmoset). Its description in RNAcentral is "lncRNA (ENSCJAG00000079084.1)". Lineage: Eukaryota; Metazoa; Chordata; Mammalia; Primates; Cebidae. The record is from RNAcentral.
AGGCUCAUAGGUGGAAGAAACUUGCCUUGUCUCAGAUGACACUUCGGACUGUGCACUUUUGAGUUAAUGCUAAAAUGAGUUAAGACUUUGGGAGACUAUUGGGAAGCAUGAUUUGUUUUACAAUGUAAGAACAUGAGAUUUGAGAGGGUCUGGGGCAGAAUAAUAUGGUUUGACUGUGUUUCCACCCAAAUCUCACCUUGAAUUGUAACUUCCACACUUGGAAGGAACCCAGUGUGAAGUAAUUAAAUCAUGAGCAGGUUUCUCCCAUUUAAGUCAUACAAGAUCUGCUGGUUUUAAAAAUGGGAGUUCCCUGCACAAGCUCUCUCUUUGCCUGCUGCCAUCAAUGGAAAACAUAACUUGCUCCUCCACUUUCACCUUCUGCCAUGAUUGUGAGGCUUUCCAGCCACGUGGAACUGAUUGCCUGUGUAUGGGAUGAAGACUGACCUGUACUUGCUCUUUCACAGAGUUUGCUGAAGAUUGCUGAAGGUAAGCAUCCAAUAAUGCUUUAAGAAAUAUUUCUCUGGCCACUGUAUUGGAAAUUUAAAUCAGGAUUCACAAAUACAAAUACAUAUAUAUGGGCCUAAUAGGCAAAAAGAAAAAGAAUCAGUGCUAUGUAUUGGAU